This is a non-coding RNA of Schizophyllum commune H4-8, 93 nucleotides long. The record is from Rfam. NCBI's taxonomy places the organism in Eukaryota, Fungi, Basidiomycota, Agaricomycetes, Agaricales, Schizophyllaceae.
GGGCUCGUGGUACAGUGGUAGCACGUUCGCUUAGCAUCCUUCUCUCUGUCGGCCAGUUGCGAAAGGUCCUGGGUUCAAUUCCCAGCGAGUCCA